Molecule: ribosomal RNA, 1552 nt
Filed under: Salmonella enterica subsp. enterica
Lineage: Bacteria; Pseudomonadati; Pseudomonadota; Gammaproteobacteria; Enterobacterales; Enterobacteriaceae
Description: bacterial SSU rRNA
Rfam family: Bacterial small subunit ribosomal RNA
Source: RNAcentral
AAAUUGAAGAGUUUGAUCAUGGCUCAGAUUGAACGCUGGCGGCAGGCCUAACACAUGCAAGUCGAACGGUAACAGGAAGCAGCUUGCUGCUUUGCUGACGAGUGGCGGACGGGUGAGUAAUGUCUGGGAAACUGCCUGAUGGAGGGGGAUAACUACUGGAAACGGUGGCUAAUACCGCAUAACGUCGCAAGACCAAAGAGGGGGACCUUCGGGCCUCUUGCCAUCAGAUGUGCCCAGAUGGGAUUAGCUUGUUGGUGAGGUAACGGCUCACCAAGGCGACGAUCCCUAGCUGGUCUGAGAGGAUGACCAGCCACACUGGAACUGAGACACGGUCCAGACUCCUACGGGAGGCAGCAGUGGGGAAUAUUGCACAAUGGGCGCAAGCCUGAUGCAGCCAUGCCGCGUGUAUGAAGAAGGCCUUCGGGUUGUAAAGUACUUUCAGCGGGGAGGAAGGUGUUGUGGUUAAUAACCACAGCAAUUGACGUUACCCGCAGAAGAAGCACCGGCUAACUCCGUGCCAGCAGCCGCGGUAAUACGGAGGGUGCAAGCGUUAAUCGGAAUUACUGGGCGUAAAGCGCACGCAGGCGGUCUGUCAAGUCGGAUGUGAAAUCCCCGGGCUCAACCUAGGAACUGCAUUCGAAACUGGCAGGCUUGAGUCUUGUAGAGGGGGGUAGAAUUCCAGGUGUAGCGGUGAAAUGCGUAGAGAUCUGGAGGAAUACCGGUGGCGAAGGCGGCCCCCUGGACAAAGACUGACGCUCAGGUGCGAAAGCGUGGGGAGCAAACAGGAUUAGAUACCCUGGUAGUCCACGCCGUAAACGAUGUCUACUUGGAGGUUGUGCCCUUGAGGCGUGGCUUCCGGAGCUAACGCGUUAAGUAGACCGCCUGGGGAGUACGGCCGCAAGGUUAAAACUCAAAUGAAUUGACGGGGGCCCGCACAAGCGGUGGAGCAUGUGGUUUAAUUCGAUGCAACGCGAAGAACCUUACCUGGUCUUGACAUCCACAGAACUUUCCAGAGAUGGACUGGUGCCUUCGGGAACUGUGAGACAGGUGCUGCAUGGCUGUCGUCAGCUCGUGUUGUGAAAUGUUGGGUUAAGUCCCGCAACGAGCGCAACCCUUAUCCUUUGUUGCCAGCGAUUAGGUCGGGAACUCAAAGGAGACUGCCAGUGAUAAACUGGAGGAAGGUGGGGAUGACGUCAAGUCAUCAUGGCCCUUACGACCAGGGCUACACACGUGCUACAAUGGCGCAUACAAAGAGAAGCGACCUCGCGAGAGCAAGCGGACCUCAUAAAGUGCGUCGUAGUCCGGAUUGGAGUCUGCAACUCGACUCCAUGAAGUCGGAAUCGCUAGUAAUCGUGGAUCAGAAUGCCACGGUGAAUACGUUCCCGGGCCUUGUACACACCGCCCGUCACACCAUGGGAGUGGGUUGCAAAAGAAGUAGGUAGCUUAACCUUCGGGAGGGCGCUUACCACUUUGUGAUUCAUGACUGGGGUGAAGUCGUAACAAGGUAACCGUAGGGGAACCUGCGGUUGGAUCACCUCCUUACCUUAAAGAA